Molecule: ribosomal RNA, 292 nt
Filed under: uncultured bacterium
Lineage: Bacteria
Description: partial 16S ribosomal RNA
Rfam family: Bacterial small subunit ribosomal RNA
Source: RNAcentral
GUGUCAGCAGCCGCGGUAAUACGGAGGGGGCAAGCGUUACUCGGAAUUAUUGGGCGUAAAGGGCGCGUAGGCGGUCGUGCGCGUCGGAGGUGAAAUCCCCGGGCUUAACCCGGGAGCUGCCUCCGAUACGGCAUGGCUUGAGUCCGGGAGAGGGGAGCAGAAUUCCCAGUGUAGCGGUGAAAUGCGUAGAUAUUGGGAGGAAUACCGGUGGCGAAGGCGGCUCCCUGGACCGGUACUGACGCUGAGGCGCGAAAGCGUGGGUAGCAAACAGGAUUAGAUACCCUGGUAGUCC